This is a non-coding RNA of Acanthosepion pharaonis, 111 nucleotides long. The record is from the annotation of a GenBank genome assembly. NCBI's taxonomy places the organism in Eukaryota, Metazoa, Mollusca, Cephalopoda, Sepiida, Sepiidae.
UACAGCCAUAUCAGGUUGAAAUACCGGUUUUCAUACGAUAACCGAAGUUCAGCAGCGUCGAACCUGGCUAGUACCUGGAUGGAUGACCGCUUGGAAAUGCCAAAAGCUGUA